UCGGACGUAGUGCACGGCGCACACCCGCGCUCCUUAGAGGUACAAUGACAAUGUGUGUAGGCGGGAGCUCUGGGUUCGAUUCCCAGCGUCUGAA
This is a non-coding RNA of Mycena latifolia, 94 nucleotides long. The record is from the annotation of a GenBank genome assembly. NCBI's taxonomy places the organism in Eukaryota, Fungi, Basidiomycota, Agaricomycetes, Agaricales, Mycenaceae.